This 156-nucleotide ribosomal RNA is filed under the name ascomycete sp. HK-S188. RNAcentral describes it as "5.8S ribosomal RNA". The record is from RNAcentral. Lineage: Eukaryota; Fungi; Ascomycota.
AUGAUUCACUGAAUUCUGCAAUUCACACUACUUAUCGCAUUUCGCUGCGUUCUUCAUCGAUGCCAGAACCAAGAGAUCCGUUGUUGAAAGUUGUAAUUAUUAAAAUAAUUCAGACGCUGAUUAAAUAUUAAAAAGGUUAUUGGUUUGUCCAUUCGG